GGGGCAUGUAGCUCAGUGGGAGAGUGCUUGCUUUGCAUGCAAGAGGCCCUGGGAUCAACCCCCAGCAUCUCCA
This is a non-coding RNA of Passer montanus (Eurasian tree sparrow), 73 nucleotides long. Lineage: Eukaryota; Metazoa; Chordata; Aves; Passeriformes; Passeridae. The record is from the annotation of a RefSeq genome assembly.